GUGGGGAAUCUUCCGCAAUGGACGAAAGUCUGACGGAGCGACGCCGCGUGAGUGAAGAAGGCCUUCGGGUCGUAAAGCUCUGUCAUCAGGGACGAACGGCCGGUGGAGUGGAAAGCCACCGGAUUGACGGUACCUGAGAAGGAAGCCACGGCUAACUACGUGCCAGCAGCCGCGGUAAUACGUAGGUGGCAAGCGUUGUCCGGAAUUAUUGGGCGUAAAGCGCGCGCAGGUGGGAUCUUAAGUCCAUUUUGAAAGUUCGGAGCUCAACUCCGUGAUGGGAUGGAAACUGGGAUUCUUGAGUACCGGAGAGGAAAGCGGAAUUCCCCGUGUAGCGGUGAAAUGCGUAGAUAUGGAGAGGAACACCAGUGGCGAAGGCGGCUUUCUGGACGGUGUCUGACACUGAGGCGCGAAAGCUAGGGGAGCGAACGGGAUUAGAUACCCUGGUAGUCC
This 450-nucleotide ribosomal RNA is filed under the name uncultured bacterium. RNAcentral's name for it is "partial 16S ribosomal RNA". It matches the Rfam family "Bacterial small subunit ribosomal RNA", at positions 354 to 796 of the family's 1533-position model. The record is from RNAcentral.